AGCCUAUGAGUUGUGUUCAAUGUUUUGUGGUCUUUCAUUUUCUAUCAUCCUGUUUCUAGUUCCCAAUCUGUGUCUUUUUCCCACAUGCGAUUUUGUUCACAACUUCUGUGCAGUGUGCAGUGGUUUUUUGUUUGUUUUAAACUGAACUGUUUCAUCUUUGCUUGGAAGUUUGAAUUGUGCAAAAUUUUGUAGUACACUGUUAUUUGUAAAACUAAGAAUUGGUGAUCAUUGUAUAUCACUUGUAAAUGAAGUUAUAUACGUGAGAUUGUCAUGAAAUCUGAUGUGACUGACUUUGUUGAGUCUGAAGUGGAAUAUGUCGCUGGUACCUCCAGAACUCGUCUUGGUGAUGCCGAUUUGGACUUGGAUGAAGGCAAUUAGUGAAAAAUGGUACAUGGUGGUCACAGAAACAGAACACAGGUAGGAAAAUUCAAGAAAAAAAUAUUGGAAGGGUUAAUGAGACAGAGGUCAAACAAUGGGUAAGUGUCACAAUCACUGAAAUGUAGCGUUUUAUUGCUUAUUCUCUCUCACCUCAUCGCUGUUUCACCUGAUAUCUGCAGAAACCCUGAAAAAAAGGAGAACCUGGAUACGACCCGUGGGUAAAGAUGAGGGAAUUUAUGGAUUCCAUGAAUCAAUCCUUCAAAAGUUAUUUUGUUACCACUUUAUACAGAUAAUUUUUAUACUAAACUUCCUCUUGCUGAAACUCUACUAGCACAAGACACUUACCUGACUGGAACAGCAAAUAAAAGGGCCAAGGACCUGUCGAAAGCUGUACUAUCAGCAGAACUGGGGGUACAGGAAGUAUUUACUUCAGGAGAGGACCUAUUUUAUGUGUUGGGUAUAAAUAAAAAAAGUCAAAAGAAAGCCUGUUUACCUCCUGUCAACUGGUUGGCAUGCCGAACAUCGAGUGAUCAAAAGCCGUGGAAGUGGACUGCAGGCUGUAAAGCCAGUCAUGAUUGACCAAUAUAACAAGUAUAUGGGUGGUAUUGAUUUGAAAGACAGGCCACUGUACCAUCUCACAUGUUCAAGGGCAACCCGGCGAUACUGGAAAAAGAUUUUCUACCACAUACUUGAUAUGGCCCUAUUCAAUUCUUAUAUUCUGUAAGCAAACAACACAGAUAAACCUUUGCCUAGAAGGCUUUACAUGAUGGCGCUAGUAGAACAACUCUCCAGGAAACCAGCUAGACAACCUUCACCUCAGCCACCUCAAGCUUCUAGUAGGACUCAGCACAAACUAGCCCAUCUUCCAGGAGUCCAAAAAAGAGUAUGCUCUAUCUGUGGUAAAAGAAGCCCUUGGUGGUGCCCCCAAUGCAACUGUGGAGUACAUCCUAAGUGCUUUAGUAACAUGAAACACUUCAGGAGGACUCUGAAAGGAACCAAGAAGCAGCAUGUAAUGGCAGAUGCAAGUGACUCAGAAUGAGGAAAACAAAACUGAGUGUUAAUAGUGUAAAUAUAUUGCAUUUGUGUGCUUUUUGUUUUGUGAAAGUUAAUUUUAUCAUUCUUAUUUCAUUGUGUUCUUUAGAAACUGAAAAUAUGUAAAAAUGUGCCAUGUUGCGCUUGUCACUGCAAACAUAAAAAUUAUAAAACUUUUUGUUCUAAACCCCAUAACACUAUAUAUUUUUGUGUUCGCAACUAAAUUUCCUACAGUUUGGCUAUUUUGAAUUUUUUUAAUAUUUUACAUUUUAUUAUGAUGUGGAUAUUUUUAUGUAACACAUUUUUUCAGAUGUGAAGAAAUAAAUGCAAUAUGUAAAACUUA
This 1753-nucleotide long non-coding RNA is filed under the name Homalodisca vitripennis (glassy-winged sharpshooter). Its description in RNAcentral is "uncharacterized LOC124369293". The record is from RNAcentral. Lineage: Eukaryota; Metazoa; Arthropoda; Insecta; Hemiptera; Cicadellidae.